Molecule: non-coding RNA, 394 nt
Organism: Manis javanica (Malayan pangolin)
Lineage: Eukaryota; Metazoa; Chordata; Mammalia; Pholidota; Manidae
Source: RefSeq, a predicted model, not a curated record
ACAGAAGCCUGGCUCAGGGAAGGGAGCUACUCCUGGAAGCCUCUUCAAGAUUCACUUUUGAGGAAGGACAUACAGAAGAAGGUGGCAAUUCCCUCACGUCCUUUUACCGUUGAUUUUUAAAACACUUGCCAUGUGCUGGCCCUGUGCCCAACAUUUCACCUUCAUCACCUUGUUUAAUAUUGCCAAUAGGCAGCCGAGCCUUUGGCAACUACCAUUCUACUUUCUGUCUUUAUGAAUUGGACCACUUCAAGUAUCUCGUCACCUGCAGCUUUUCUCUGAACCUGGAUGGAGGCUGUGUGGAGUCUGCUCAGCACAGAAAAGCCUGCUGACGGGGUGAGAAACGGAAGCAAGACAUUCUUCAACGAACUGGAACAAAUAGUUCUAAAAUUCAUAU